RNAcentral lists this ribosomal RNA (253 nucleotides) under uncultured bacterium. RNAcentral's name for it is "partial 16S ribosomal RNA". It matches the Rfam family "Bacterial small subunit ribosomal RNA", at positions 524 to 776 of the family's 1533-position model. The record is from RNAcentral.
UACAGAGGGUGCAAGCGUUGUUCGGAAUUAUUGGGCGUAAAGGGCGCGUAGGCGGUGCGGUAAGUCUGUAGUGAAAUCUCUGGGCUCAACUCAGAGUCUGCUGCAGAAACUGCCGUGCUUGAGUGUGGGAGAGGAGAGUGGAAUUCCUGGUGUAGCGGUGAAAUGCGCAGAUAUCAGGAAGAACACCCGUGGCUAAGGCGGCUCUCUAGUACGGUACUGACGCUGAGACGCGAAAGCGUGGGGAGCGAACAGG